This 253-nucleotide ribosomal RNA is filed under the name uncultured bacterium. RNAcentral's name for it is "partial 16S ribosomal RNA". It matches the Rfam family "Bacterial small subunit ribosomal RNA", at positions 524 to 776 of the family's 1533-position model. The record is from RNAcentral.
UACGUAGGGUGCAAGCGUUGUCCGGAAUUAUUGGGCGUAAAGAGCUCGUAGGCGGCUUGUCGCGUCGACCGUGAAAACUUGUGGCUCAACCACAAGCUGGCGGUCGAUACGGGCAGGCUGGAGUUCGGUAGGGGAGACUGGAAUUCCUGGUGUAGCGGUGAAAUGCGCAGAUAUCAGGAAGAACACCCGUGGCGAAGGCGGCUCUCUGGGACGGUACUGACGCUGAGACGCGAAAGCGUGGGGAGCGAACAGG